RNAcentral lists this ribosomal RNA (235 nucleotides) under uncultured Lysobacterales bacterium. Its description in RNAcentral is "uncultured Xanthomonadales bacterium partial 16S ribosomal RNA". It matches the Rfam family "Bacterial small subunit ribosomal RNA", at positions 96 to 334 of the family's 1533-position model. Lineage: Bacteria; Pseudomonadati; Pseudomonadota; Gammaproteobacteria; Lysobacterales. The record is from RNAcentral.
UGGCGGACGGGUGAGGAAUACAUCGGAAUCUACUCUUUCGUGGGUGAUAACGUAGGGAAACUUACGCUAAUACCGCAUACGACCUACGGGUGAAAGCGGAGGACCUUCGGGCUUCGCGCGAUUGAAUGAGCCGAUGUCGGAUUAGCUAGUUGGCUGGGUAAAGGCCCACCAAGGCGACGAUCCGUAGCUGGUCUGAGAGGAUGAUCAGCCACACUUGAACUGAGACACGGUCCAG